RNAcentral lists this long non-coding RNA (453 nucleotides) under Androctonus crassicauda. The record is from RNAcentral. Lineage: Eukaryota; Metazoa; Arthropoda; Arachnida; Scorpiones; Buthidae.
UCUUCCGAUCUGGACUUUUUAGACGCUGUCUAUAGCAAAGUCUUAAGAGACGUGAAUCCGCAACCAAAUAGUUCAUCAAAGAAGGAUGAAUACGAGUCAAUACCGUUUGCCAUGAAUAAGUAUAGAACCGUUAAAAAAUUAAUUAAAAAAGCAGAUAAGAAAGUUGCCUUUAAAAGAUGCCCUACCAUCUACGAUCAACUUAGAAAUGACAAAGAUAAAAGACAGCAAGAACAAAAAACUGGGGUUUAUAGAAUUCCCACCACAGACAAUACGAAAAACAUACAAGAAGCAUAUAUUGGUGUUACUUUAGAUGUUAUAAAUGAGCUUACAAGAACACAAAAAAGACAUAGUUAAAGGUAGGCUAAGUACAGCCUUAGCGAGAAAUGCAUUCGAAGACAACAUAGAAGUAAGAUGGCCAGAAGCACGGAUAAUAAAAACACUUCCGAAAGAAAA